GGGCCAGGCUAGAAGGCCUUGGUGGGUCGCCCGCCCAUUAGUCACAGAAGAAUUUCUCUUGUCUUUGCGUGAAGGCAUCCCAAGUUGACAACUCCACGGCCCGCUCAUGGAAGAACAAGAACACGACACCAACCCAACCAUCGCUACCAGCUCACCACCACUGUCACCGCCGCCGCAACGCCGCCAACUAUGCACCCAGUGUGACCGCCCACUUCCAGUCUGCCUCUGCCAUGUUCUCCUCACCACCCCACUUCAAACCAAAACCAAAAUUUUAAUCAUCCGCCACCCUCACGAGUCCCGCCACAAGCUCAACACAACCCCACUCCUCUCCAAAACCCUCCUCAACGCCACUACCAUCUCUUCCCGUCGCCUCCUCCCUCACCACCUUGCCAACCAAUCCCCCCCCGCCAUCUACCUCUUCCCUCCUUCCCCUUCCACGCCCGCCGUCACACUGUCCCAACUCAAAUCCACCAACCUCCUCAAUUACCAAACUACCCCUCUCCUCUUAAUUGUUUUUGAUGCCACGUGGAAGCAUGCUAAGGAGAUGGUAGGGGCCAGUGAAGGGGUUUUGAAGGGUUUUGCUCUACGGGUUUGUUUAGAUGGAGUUGAUGAGAGUGUGGUGGGCGGGAGUAUUUAUGAUAGUGAAUUAAUUUUAAGAAAAGAGCCCUUUGGUGGGUGUGUUACCACUUUGGAGGCUGUGGCUAGGUGCUUGGGGGUCAUUGAGCCUAAUGGAAAUGAGGUUCAAGGGGUUCUGAUUGGGAUAUUGAGGGAGAUGGUGAGAUUGCAAGCUGGGUUUUUGAAGCCUGUUAAGCCUAGGACUAAGAUGUUGAAGAAGAACAAGCACAAAGAAGAGGGGAACAGUAAGAUUGACUAGAAGUCACUGCAAAUGUGAGCGAAAAGCUUAUAUGCUUCUCAACUUUGAUUGCAAGCUGUUGUUUUGGACAACUGUGUUGGAAUAUCUUCCAGUUAUGAACCUCAUCUCUGCUACUUGGUGAAUACUUUUAUUACAUGGCUGAGGUUUUCUGAGCCAAAAUGAAUACUUAUAUUGUUGAAGAAGUGUCAGCAGAAAGAGAAGAUGAAUGAGACUUUGCAGUCACUGGGUCUAAGGUUUUCUCUUGGAUAUCUGGCCAUAGGACUUACACAGAGAGGUUAGUGGAUGUCUCUUAUCUGACUUGAUACUAUUUUUCAAAGCUAAUUCCAUCAAGUUCAUGCUAUAAUUUGUAAAAAAACAAAAUUAUUGUGAGAAUUAGAUAGUUUUGUUAUGUCCAGCUCUUAAGAAAUGGUAUGGACAAUGGAUGCAAAUUACAAAUCUUGCAAUGUAGGUGGUUAUAAAGUUUGAUAAUAAGAAAUUCCAUUGGGUAAUAUGAGCUAAGCAAAGUAUCCCUUGUUUCUUUUUCAAUAAAUAAUUUUAUAUUUGUUGACAAUGUUCUCUUGAAAUACAUGUCUAUUUUUGUGUUGCAGUUGAACAGCUUUUUCGAAGGAGGGCUGGAAAGGGGGAAGGAUGGAAUAGUUUUUACUAUAAUGGUUGUUGGAAAUCAUCGUUAUUCUGCAGUUCCAUCGAUAUCCAGAGGAGUGAAAGAUCAAAGAGGAUACUGAUGCAAACUGUGAAAUCUCAAUGCCGUCAAGCACAAUCUUAGUAACAUGAGCAAUCUUGGGCCAAUCUUCACCUAUUCCUGGUUUGCAUCUUUUGCUCAACG
Molecule: non-coding RNA, 1697 nt
Organism: Theobroma cacao (cacao)
Lineage: Eukaryota; Viridiplantae; Streptophyta; Magnoliopsida; Malvales; Malvaceae
Source: RefSeq, a predicted model, not a curated record